RNAcentral lists this transfer RNA (64 nucleotides) under Octopus salutii. RNAcentral describes it as "tRNA-Arg". Lineage: Eukaryota; Metazoa; Mollusca; Cephalopoda; Octopoda; Octopodidae. The record is from RNAcentral.
AUUCAAGAAAUGAAUUUUCAUAUAUGGUUUCGACCCAUACUUAGGUAUAAAUUACCCUUGUUUC